This 74-nucleotide transfer RNA is filed under the name Candidatus Levybacteria bacterium CG_4_10_14_0_8_um_filter_35_23. Its description in RNAcentral is "tRNA-Ala". It matches the Rfam family "tRNA". Rfam says of the family: Transfer RNA (tRNA) molecules are approximately 80 nucleotides in length. Their secondary structure includes four short double-helical elements and three loops (D, anti-codon, and T loops). RNAcentral also lists the same sequence under 3 other names. The record is from RNAcentral. Lineage: Bacteria; Candidatus Levyibacteriota.
GGGCCAUUAGUACAGUGGUAAUAUGCUGCAUUCGCAUUGCAGAGGCGGGAGUUCGAUUCUCCCAUGGUCCACAA